GUGAAGAACGUAGCAAAAUGCGAUAAGUAAUGUGAAUUGCAGAAUUCAGUGAAUCAUCGAAUCUUUGAACGCACAUUGCGCCCGCUGGUAUUCCGGCGGGCAUGCCUGUUCGAGCGUCAUUUCAACCCUCAAGCCCCCGGCUUGUGUUGGGGACCUGCGGCUGCCGCAGGCCCUGAAAAGCAGUGGCGGGCUCGCUGUCACACCGAGCGUAGUAGCAUACAUCUCGCUCUGGGCGUGCUGCGGGUUCCGGCCGUUAAACCACCUUCAUAACCCAAGGUUGACCUCGGAUCAGGUAGGAAGACCCGCUGAACUUAAGCAUAUCAAUAAGCGGAGGA
RNAcentral lists this unclassified non-coding RNA (335 nucleotides) under soil metagenome. RNAcentral's name for it is "partial contains 5.8S ribosomal RNA, internal transcribed spacer 2, and large subunit ribosomal RNA". The stretch from base 2 to 119 matches the Rfam family "5.8S ribosomal RNA", at positions 37 to 154 of the family's 154-position model. The record is from RNAcentral.